CGCAAUGGGCGAAAGCCUGACGCAGCAACGCCGCGUGAGGGAUGAAGGUUCUCGGAUUGUAAACCUCUUUCAGCAGGAACGAAAUUGACGGUACCUGCAGAAGAAGCUCCGGCCAACUACGUGCCAGCAGCCGCGGUAAUACGUAGGGAGCAAGCGUUGUCCGGAUUUAUUGGGCGUAAAGAGCUCGUAGGCGGUUAAGUAAGUCAGGUGUGAAACCUCCAGGCUCAACCUGGAGACGCCACUUGAUACUGCUUUGACUUGAGUUCGGUAGGGGUAAGCGGAAUUCCUGGUGUAGCGGUGAAAUGCGCAGAUAUCAGGAGGAACACCGACGGCGAAGGCAGCUUACUGGGCCGAUACUGACGCUGAGGAGCGAAAGCGUGGGGAGCGAACAGGAUUAGAUACCCUGGUAGUCCACGCCGUAAACGUUGGGAACUAGGUGUGGGAGGUAAUCAACGCCUUCCGUGCCGUAGCUAACGCAUUAAGUUCCCCGCCUGGGGAGUACGGUCGCAAGACUAAAACUCAAAGGAAUUGACGG
RNAcentral lists this ribosomal RNA (535 nucleotides) under uncultured bacterium. Its description in RNAcentral is "bacterial SSU rRNA". It matches the Rfam family "Bacterial small subunit ribosomal RNA", at positions 367 to 916 of the family's 1533-position model. The record is from RNAcentral.